GGAGCAUAGCUCAGCUGGGAGAGCAUCUGCCUUACAAGCAGAGGGUCACAGGUUCGAGCCCUGUUGUUCC
This 70-nucleotide transfer RNA is filed under the name Escherichia coli. RNAcentral describes it as "tRNA-Val". It matches the Rfam family "tRNA". From Rfam's summary of the family: Transfer RNA (tRNA) molecules are approximately 80 nucleotides in length. Lineage: Bacteria; Pseudomonadati; Pseudomonadota; Gammaproteobacteria; Enterobacterales; Enterobacteriaceae. The record is from RNAcentral.